This 1261-nucleotide ribosomal RNA is filed under the name Marinobacter flavimaris. RNAcentral describes it as "bacterial SSU rRNA". It matches the Rfam family "Bacterial small subunit ribosomal RNA", at positions 56 to 1307 of the family's 1533-position model. Lineage: Bacteria; Pseudomonadati; Pseudomonadota; Gammaproteobacteria; Pseudomonadales; Marinobacteraceae. The record is from RNAcentral.
UGCAGUCGAGCGGUGAACAGAUCUAGCUUGCUAGAUGCUGACGAGCGGCGGACGGGUGAGUAAUGCAUAGGAAACUGCCCAGUAGUGGGGGAUAGCCCGGGGAAACCCGGAUUAAUACCGCGUACGCCCUUCGGGGGAAAGCAGGGGAUCUUCGGACCUUGCGCUAUUGGAUGUGCCUAUGUCGGAUUAGCUAGUUGGUGGGGUAAAGGCCUACCAAGGCGACAAUCCGUAGCUGGUCUGAGAGGAUGAUCAGCCACAUCGGGACUGAGACACGGCCCGAACUCCUACGGGAGGCAGCAGUGGGGAAUAUUGGACAAUGGGGGCAACCCUGAUCCCAGCCAUGCCGCGUGUGUGAAGAAGGCUUUCGGGUUGUAAAGCACUUUCAGUGAGGAGGAAAACUCUGCGACUAAUACUCGUAGGGCUUGACGUUACUCACAGAAGAAGCACCGGCUAACUCCGUGCCAGCAGCCGCGGUAAUACGGAGGGUGCAAGCGUUAAUCGGAAUUACUGGGCGUAAAGCGCGCGUAGGUGGUUUGAUAAGCGAGAUGUGAAAGCCCCGGGCUUAACCUGGGAACGGCAUUUCGAACUGUCAGGCUAGAGUAUGGUAGAGGGGUAGUGGAAUUUCCUGUGUAGCGGUGAAAUGCGUAGAUAUAGGAAGGAACACCAGUGGCGAAGGCGGCUACCUGGACCAAUACUGACACUGAGGUGCGAAAGCGUGGGGAGCAAACAGGAUUAGAUACCCUGGUAGUCCACGCCGUAAACGAUGUCUACUAGCCGUUGGGACUCUUGAAGUCUUAGUGGCGCAGCUAACGCACUAAGUAGACCGCCUGGGGAGUACGGCCGCAAGGUUAAAACUCAAAUGAAUUGACGGGGGCCCGCACAAGCGGUGGAGCAUGUGGUUUAAUUCGACGCAACGCGAAGAACCUUACCUGGCCUUGACAUGCAGAGAACUUUCCAGAGAUGGAUUGGUGCCUUCGGGAACUCUGACACAGGUGCUGCAUGGCCGUCGUCAGCUCGUGUCGUGAGAUGUUGGGUUAAGUCCCGUAACGAGCGCAACCCCUAUCCCUAGUUGCUAGCAGUUCGGCUGAGAACUCUAGGGAGACUGCCGGUGACAAACCGGAGGAAGGUGGGGAUGACGUCAGGUCAUCAUGGCCCUUACGGCCAGGGCUACACACGUGCUACAAUGGUGCGCACAGAGGGCUGCAAACCCGCGAGGGGGAGCCAAUCUCACAAAACGCAUCGUAGUCCGGAUCGCAGUCUG